Molecule: long non-coding RNA, 214 nt
Filed under: Nicotiana benthamiana
Lineage: Eukaryota; Viridiplantae; Streptophyta; Magnoliopsida; Solanales; Solanaceae
Description: long non-coding RNA (NBEN_LNC024526)
Source: RNAcentral
ACAAAACCAAACUGUCAGGACUGAAUCCCUCUAACUCAACCAAGCUACGCAGGUCACCAAAAACACAAGAGCAUUGCCACGAGACACUUGUAGAACUCAUCACCUUAAAAGCACUCAAAAAACUAAUCAUAUCCCUUAUCAUGUCGAUCCGACCUACUACCAAGCUAUCCUAUUUAUCCAAGUUCCUUCUGAAUUACCUUCAAAUUAAUACUUC